CAGCUAGUUGGCGGGGUAACGGCCCACCAAGGCGAAGAUCGGUAGCCGGCCUGAGAGGGCGCACGGCCACACUGGAACUGAAACACGGUCCAGACUCCUACGGGAGGCAGCAGUGGGGAAUUUUGCGCAAUGGGGGAAACCCUGACGCAGCAACGCCGCGUGGAGGAUGAAGCCCCUUGGGGUGUAAACUCCUUUCGACCAAGACGAUAAUGACGGUACUGGUGGAAGAAGCACCGGCUAACUCUGUGCCAGCAGCCGCGGUAAUACAGAGGGUGCGAGCGUUGUUCGGAAUUAUUGGGCGUAAAGGGUGCGUAGGCGGUGCCACAAGUCACUUGUGAAAUCCCCGGGCUUAACCCGGGGCCUGCAGGCGAAACUGUGGUGCUGGAGUAUGGG
This 393-nucleotide ribosomal RNA is filed under the name uncultured Acidobacteriota bacterium. RNAcentral's name for it is "SSU rRNA". It matches the Rfam family "Bacterial small subunit ribosomal RNA", at positions 242 to 652 of the family's 1533-position model. Lineage: Bacteria; Pseudomonadati; Acidobacteriota. The record is from RNAcentral.